GAUGAACGCUGACAGCAUGCUUAACACAUCAGCAAUUGAUUGGUGGCGGACGGGUGAGUAACGCGUAAAGAACUUGCCUCACAGCUAGGGACAACAUUUGGAAACGAAUGCUAAUACCUAAUACUGUGAGGGGGCUUUUCGUCCCAUUAGCUAGUUGGAGAGGUAACGGCUCACCAAGGCGAUGAUGGGUAGCCGGCCUGAGAGGGUGAUCGGGCACAAGGGGACGGGGAAACCGCCCUUACGCCUACUGGAGGCAGAAGUGGGGAAUAUUGGACAAUGGACCAAAGUCUGAUGCAGGAAUUCUGGGUGAAAGAUUAAGUUUUAGGAAUGUAAAGUGCUUUCAGUUGGGAAGCGGUACCAACAGAAGAAGUGACGGCUAAAUACGUGCCAGCAGCCGCGGUAAUAC
This 406-nucleotide ribosomal RNA is filed under the name uncultured bacterium. RNAcentral describes it as "partial 16S ribosomal RNA". It matches the Rfam family "Bacterial small subunit ribosomal RNA", at positions 28 to 526 of the family's 1533-position model. The record is from RNAcentral.